AUGGGGUCCCUGUGGGGAGAUACCAGGAUCCCGAAGGUGGUUUUUCCAGGGUGAGGCUUAUCUCUUGGAGCAUUUUACUCCACAAAUGCUGCCUCUGUGAUUUCUUCAAAUGCACUAAACUCAACUGCAUAAUUUGUGGUAGUGAGAGACUGCAUUUGUGCCCUCCCUGG
This 170-nucleotide small nuclear RNA is filed under the name Callithrix jacchus (white-tufted-ear marmoset). Its description in RNAcentral is "U1 spliceosomal RNA (ENSCJAG00000034193.3)". It matches the Rfam family "U1 spliceosomal RNA". Rfam says of the family: U1 is a small nuclear RNA (snRNA) component of the spliceosome (involved in pre-mRNA splicing). Its 5' end forms complementary base pairs with the 5' splice junction, thus defining the 5' donor site of an intron. There are significant differences in sequence and secondary structure between metazoan and yeast U1 snRNAs, the latter being much longer (568 nucleotides as compared to 164 nucleotides in human). Lineage: Eukaryota; Metazoa; Chordata; Mammalia; Primates; Cebidae. The record is from RNAcentral.